UACGUAGGGAGCAAGCGUUGUCCGGAAUCAUUGGGCGUAAAGCGCGCGUAGGCGGCCUCAUAAGUCCGUUGUGAGAGUCAAAGGCUCAACCUUUGAAAGCCGAUGGAUACUGUGAGGCUAGAGUUCGGAAGAGGCGAGUGGAAUUCCUGGUGUAGCGGUGGAAUGCGCAGAUAUCAGGAGGAACACCAAUAGCGAAGGCAGCUCGCUGGGACGAUACUGACGCUAAGGCGCGAAAGCGUGGGGAGCGAACAGG
RNAcentral lists this ribosomal RNA (253 nucleotides) under uncultured bacterium. Its description in RNAcentral is "partial 16S ribosomal RNA". It matches the Rfam family "Bacterial small subunit ribosomal RNA", at positions 524 to 776 of the family's 1533-position model. The record is from RNAcentral.